GGUCUUGUGGUCUAGUGGUAGUAAGUCUACCCAACGUCCCUCCAAGUUCACCCAACCCUACUAACUGGGUUCCCUUAGUGAUUCCUGCUUCGGGUGCAGGAGGUCCCGUGUUCGAUCCACGGCAAGACCC
This is a non-coding RNA of Myotisia sp. PD_48, 130 nucleotides long. NCBI's taxonomy places the organism in Eukaryota, Fungi, Ascomycota, Eurotiomycetes, Onygenales. The record is from the annotation of a GenBank genome assembly.